RNAcentral lists this ribosomal RNA (248 nucleotides) under uncultured bacterium. Its description in RNAcentral is "partial 16S ribosomal RNA". It matches the Rfam family "Bacterial small subunit ribosomal RNA", at positions 91 to 334 of the family's 1533-position model. The record is from RNAcentral.
CUUAGUGGCGAACGGGGUGAGUAACAACGUGAGUAACCUGCCCCAGAGUGGGGGGACAACAGUUGGAAACGACUGCUAAUACCGCAUAAGCCCACGACCCGGCAUCGGGUAGAGGGAAAAGGAGCAAUCCGCUUUGAGAUGGCCUCGCGUCCGAUUAGCUAGUUGGUGAGGUAACGGCCCACCAAGGCGACGAUCGGUAGCCGGACUGAGAGGUUGAACGGCCACAUUGGGACUGAGACACGACCCAG